This 178-nucleotide ribosomal RNA is filed under the name Klebsiella pneumoniae. RNAcentral describes it as "partial 16S ribosomal RNA". It matches the Rfam family "Bacterial small subunit ribosomal RNA", at positions 1 to 170 of the family's 1533-position model. Lineage: Bacteria; Pseudomonadati; Pseudomonadota; Gammaproteobacteria; Enterobacterales; Enterobacteriaceae. The record is from RNAcentral.
ACUUAAAUUGAAGAGUUUGAUCAUGGCUCAGAUUGAACGCUGGCGGCAGGCCUAACACAUGCAAGUCGAGCGGUAGCACAGAGAGCUUGCUCUCGGGUGACGAGCGGCGGACGGGUGAGUAAUGUCUGGGAAACUGCCUGAUGGAGGGGGGUAACUACUGGAAACGGUAGCUAAUACC